Molecule: ribosomal RNA, 456 nt
Filed under: uncultured bacterium
Lineage: Bacteria
Description: bacterial SSU rRNA
Rfam family: Bacterial small subunit ribosomal RNA
Source: RNAcentral
UACGGGAGGCAGCAGUGGGGAAUAUUGCACAAUGGGCGCAAGCCUGAUGCAGCCAUGCCGCGUGUAUGAAGAAGGCCUUCGGGUUGUAAAGUACUUUCAGUCGUGAGGAAGGUGUUAAGGUUAAUAACCUUAGCAAUUGACGUUAGCGACAGAAGAAGCACCGGCUAACUCCGUGCCAGCAGCCGCGGUAAUACGGAGGGUGCGAGCGUUAAUCGGAAUUACUGGGCGUAAAGGGCACGCAGGCGGUUAAUUAAGUUGGAUGUGAAAUCCCCGGGCUUAACCUGGGAAUGGCAUUCAAGACUGGUUAGCUAGAGUCUUGUAGAGGGGGUAGAAUUCCAUGUGUAGCGGUGAAAUGCGUAGAGAUGUGGAGGAAUACCGGUGGCGAAGGCGGCCCCUGGACAAAAGACUGACGCUCAUGUGCGAAAGCGUGGGGAGCAAAACAGGGAUUAAGAUACC